AUCGCUUCUCGGCCUUUUGGCUAAGAUCAAGUGUAGUAUCUGUUCUUAUCAGUUUAAUAUCUGAUACGUCCUCUAUCCGAGGACAAAAUAUUAAAUGGAUUUUUGGAGCAGGGAGAUGGAAUAGAGAGGUUGCUCCGUCCACUCCGCGCAUCGACCUGGUAUUGCAGUACCUCCAGGAACGGUGCACUUUCU
Molecule: small nuclear RNA, 192 nt
Organism: Equus caballus (horse)
Lineage: Eukaryota; Metazoa; Chordata; Mammalia; Perissodactyla; Equidae
Gene: U2
Rfam family: U2 spliceosomal RNA
About the family: U2 is a small nuclear RNA (snRNA) component of the spliceosome (involved in pre-mRNA splicing).
Source: Ensembl